This 30-nucleotide non-coding RNA is filed under the name Mus musculus (house mouse). Lineage: Eukaryota; Metazoa; Chordata; Mammalia; Rodentia; Muridae. The record is from RNAcentral.
UGCUCAAGUUAGGGGAAGUGGCCUCAUCUU